Molecule: ribosomal RNA, 406 nt
Filed under: uncultured bacterium
Lineage: Bacteria
Description: partial 16S ribosomal RNA
Rfam family: Bacterial small subunit ribosomal RNA
Source: RNAcentral
AUUGAACGCUGGCGGCAGGCCUAACACAUGCAAGUCGAACGAGUGGCGGACGGGUGAGUAAUGUCUGGGAAACUGCCUGAUGGAGGGGGAUAAAUACUGGAAACGGUAGCUAAUACCGCAUACCAUCAGAUGUGCCCAGAUGGGAUUAGCUUGUUGGUGGGGUAACGGCUCACCAAGGAGAAGAUCCCUAGCUGGUCUGAGAGGCUGACCGGCCACACUGGAACUGAGACACGGUCCAGACUCCUACGGGAGGCAGCAGUGGGGAAUAUUGCACAAUGGGCGAAAGCCUGAUGCAGCAAUGCCGCGUGAAUUAAGAAGGCCUUCGGGUUGUAAAGUACUGUCAGCGGGGAGGCGUUACCCAAAGAAGAAGCCCCGUCUAACGCCGUGCCAGCAGCCGCGGUAAUUC